AGAGUUUGAUCAUGGCUCAGAUUGAACGCUGGCGGCAUGCCUUACACAUGCAAGUCGAACGGCAGCGCGGGGCAACCUGGCGGCGAGUGGCGAACGGGUGAGUAAUAUAUCGGAACGUACCCUGGAGUGGGGGAUAACGUAGCGAAAGUUACGCUAAUACCGCAUACGAUCUCAGGAUGAAAGCAGGGGACCGCAAGGCCUUGUGCUCCUGGAGCGGCCGAUAUCUGAUUAGCUAGUUGGUGGGGUAAAGGCCUACCAAGGCAUCGAUCAGUAGCUGGUCUGAGAGGACGACCAGCCACACUGGAACUGAGACACGGUCCAGACUCCUACGGGAGGCAGCAGUGGGGAAUUUUGGACAAUGGGCGCAAGCCUGAUCCAGCAAUGCCGCGUGAGUGAAGAAGGCCUUCGGGUUGUAAAGCUCUUUUGUCAGGGAAGAAACGGUGCGGGCUAAUAUCCUGUGCUAAUGACGGUACCUGAAGAAUAAGCACCGGCUAACUACGUGCCAGCAGCCGCGGUAAUACGUAGGGUGCAAGCGUUAAUCGGAAUUACUGGGCGUAAAGCGUGCGCAGGCGGUUUUGUAAGUCUGACGUGAAAUCCCCGGGCUCAACCUGGGAAUUGCGUUGGAGACUGCAAGGCUAGAAUCUGGCAGAGGGGGGUAGAAUUCCACGUAGCAGUGAAAUGCGUAGAGAUGUGGAGGAACACCGAUGGCGAAGGCAGCCCCCUGGGUCAAGAUUGACGCUCAUGCACGAAAGCGUGGGGAGCAAACAGGAUUAGAUACCCUAGUAGUCC
This 789-nucleotide ribosomal RNA is filed under the name uncultured bacterium. RNAcentral's name for it is "bacterial SSU rRNA". It matches the Rfam family "Bacterial small subunit ribosomal RNA", at positions 8 to 796 of the family's 1533-position model. The record is from RNAcentral.